CAGGCAGGUGGAUUACGAGAUCAAGAUAUCGAGACCAUCCUGGCCAACAUAGUGAAACCCCAUCUUUACCAAAAAUACAAAAAUUAGCUGGGCGUGGUGGCACACACCUGUAAUCCCAGCUACUUGGGAGGCUGAGGCACUAGAAUUGCUUGAACCGCAGAGGCAGAGUUUGCAGUUAGCAAACUCUGCACUCCAGACUAGGCAAUAGAGUGAGACCCUGUCUCAAAAGAAAGAAAGAAAAAAAAUUAAAGAAACCAUGAACUCAGUAGCAGAUACUCCGUUUCUCCUAGCAGCUCUGCCCACCUCCAGGGUGACAAUUCAUGUAGCCUUGUUUUCCCCCAGGUCUGUGAAACAGGGAUCACAAGGAGUUGAGGAAGAGAAGGGGUCUCUGACAACCCAUGGAGACUCCUCAGCAGCUCCUCCUCCAGGUCUGCAAGCAACAAAUCCAGUCCCAAAGACACCAGGCCAGGCUCACAAACCCGCUUGCUGAAGGAAGAGAAAGGGGUCCAGGUGUUCCUCGUACUGAGAGGAGUACCGCAGCUUUGUGUCAUCAGUGCCGC
RNAcentral lists this long non-coding RNA (560 nucleotides) under Cercocebus atys (sooty mangabey). RNAcentral's name for it is "lncRNA (ENSCATG00000045458.1)". The record is from RNAcentral. Lineage: Eukaryota; Metazoa; Chordata; Mammalia; Primates; Cercopithecidae.